GUCCAAUUACAAAUGUCCAAAGAUAAUUAUCUAUAUAUUUUAUAUAUAGUACUAAAUACUAACUAUCAAAAUAAUUUAAAAUACAGACAGCAUGGAAAUAAUUGAUUGCUUCAUUCUUCAUCUACAUUUUUGAAUCUCCAUGAACAAAUUAAUUGCUCAGCUCCUGUUCUUGCAUUUCUCCAUGGCUCUUGGUGCUAGUCCAAUAGCUUCUGAUCCUUUCAUUAUGCGUAAACGCUUGCAUGAAUCAACAAACAUUUGCCAAGGUACAUCUCCAACAAG
This 279-nucleotide unclassified non-coding RNA is filed under the name Hevea brasiliensis (rubber tree). Lineage: Eukaryota; Viridiplantae; Streptophyta; Magnoliopsida; Malpighiales; Euphorbiaceae. The record is from RNAcentral.